UACGUAGGGUGCGAGCGUUAAUCGGAAUUACUGGGCGUAAAGCGUGCGCAGGCGGUUUUGCAAGACAGAUGUGAAAUCCCCGGGCUCAACCUGGGAACUGCCUUUGUGACUGCAUAGCUGGAGUGCGGCAGAGGGGGAUGGAAUUCCGCGUGUAGCAGUGAAAUGCGUAGAUAUGCGGAGGAACACCGAUGGCGAAGGCAAUCCCCUGGGCCUGCACUGACGCUCAUGCACGAAAGCGUGGGGAGCAAACAGG
Molecule: ribosomal RNA, 253 nt
Filed under: uncultured bacterium
Lineage: Bacteria
Description: partial 16S ribosomal RNA
Rfam family: Bacterial small subunit ribosomal RNA
Source: RNAcentral